Long non-coding RNA from Neofelis nebulosa (Clouded leopard), 3285 nucleotides. RefSeq lists it as uncharacterized. The record is from RefSeq and is a predicted model, not a curated record. The transcript has 2 exons. NCBI's taxonomy places the organism in Eukaryota, Metazoa, Chordata, Mammalia, Carnivora, Felidae.
UUCUGGAACCUGUGAAUGGAAUCUUACUCGGAAACAAGGUCUUGGCAUAUGUAACCUAGUUAAGGUGAGGUCAUAAUGGAUUAAGGUGGCCCCUAAUCCAACGAUGGGCGUCCUUUUAGGAAGAGGGAAAUCCGUACACAGAGAGAGAUGCACAGGGAAAGGGCCACAUGAAGGUGGAGGCAGACACUGGAGUGUUCCAGCCACGAGCCGAGGAAACCCAGGAAUGCCAGCAAGGCAGCGAGGAAGGACCCUCCCGUAGAGGCUUCAGAGACAGAAUGGCCGUGUCGUCACCUUGACUUUGGACGUCUAGCUUCCAGAACCAUGAGAGAACGCACUUCUGUGGUUUAAUGUCAUCCAGUUUGUGGUAUCUUAUCAUAGCAGGCCUAGCUAACCGAUACACUCAGAGCACUCUGUAUCUCCCUUCGCAGUGUAAAAUUGCCGGCAUCUUCCAACAGCUACGGGGCCCUUUUAGAAAAGUUAACACAAGGUCAAACUCGUGUUAGGUCGAGUAGAACCUGACAAGCCAGAAGUGUCUGUAUCCAGCCGUCAGGGGACUACCUGGGAAUUUAGGCCGAGAUCUCAACACCAGGGCCGAAAGUCUCUCCUCACUAUGGGCGCAGGGCACAAGGCGCAAAUCUGGGGGCAGAAAGAGGGCGGGGAAGACUGUCAUUUCUACGAAUUCUAGGCCGAAAACCUUGGAGGCCACCGCAGGGCGCCGCGCGGGUUCCCACCCCGGGGUAGCGGCCGUGGGGACUGAAGAAGACAGUUCAAGCAAUGAAGCAAAAUGCCAUCGUCAAAAUCCACUUACGUGCUUAAUGGUGCGGGGCCGUGGCAGAGCCGGGAGCAAGCUGACGCGGCCACUCUGCAGGCGGAGACCAACUGCAGGGCCAUUAGCCAGUGGGGCCCAGCCGCAUGCAGGAGAGCCACUUCCAAACUUCCCUCCCUGCCAGGCUCAUCUCAGACCCUCAAAUAUUUGUUUCCUCCCCUUGUGCACUGGCUCUGGCAUGUGGCUAGAGCUCAAAGCCGAAGAGAAUUUCCUAAGAGCUCCUGGCUCAAGACUCUCUAAACUGAAGAGAAGGUGUUGACCCAACCAAAGAAGGUGUUGCUAUGGCUUUGGUUCUGUAAGUGAGAGCAGGAAGAGAAGGGGUGGAGGAGAAGGGAACGUGAGGGUCCAGGGGAGGUAGGCAAGGGGCGGGCUGGACCAGUCGUGUCCGCACUGCACGGGCCAGCAAUGUCGCAACAGACUUGGGUUUCGGUGUAAUGUCAUUACUGCUUAUCGAGGGAAAAUGUCAGCUGGCAUUUACUGAAUGCCUAACACAUGCCAGGCCCCCAGUUCUAAGUUCUCACACACAUCGGCUCAUUUAAGACAACAAUGUCCUGUGGUCAGCAGAGCUGAUCUUUACCCUCUGUGUACCAGCAAACAGUGCCUACUGUUUAAGGUCAGCUCAUUCCUAACUAGCUUACGGCCUGGACAUAGCACCCUUGACCUAGUAAUUUCAAUAUCACCCCUGGAGUAGGUAGCAUUAUUAUCCCCCUCUUACCGAUGAGGAAAUAGGGACAGAGUAAGGCAAAAUGGUGCCCAGAGCCCGAGGUCAUAAAUGGAGGCUGGCCCAAGGCCCCUCUUCCUAACUACAGGAUUUAUGGUCUCACAUUUGAAAUAAAACACAGUAAGCGAAGCAGGGGGCAUGCCUGGAAUCACCCAAGAAGUUUAAAGACGAGUACAGGAACAAACAAAAAGCCUAAGUCAGAAAAGAGGCAACAUUAACACCCAUGGGUCUUGGAUUUCUUCUGCACAGUGAAUGCCAUGGAGGCAAGUGAGUUUUUCUCCGAAGGGCUUAAUGGACGUAGCGAUAAACCACAGUGAUAUUCUCUAGACUCUUGUAAGUUCCAGUUUUGUUUUGUGAAGUUCAACUUCUUCAGAAAGCUUUUGAAAUUCAGCCCUUAACCAUGGCUUGCCAGGUCUCAGCUCUGGAGGAGAAGGACAUCUCAAUCACAUGAGCAGGAACGGAGGGCAUGACUCCCGGAGAGAGGCCCGGCGGCAUGGUGGGGGGCAGGGGAGGGGUGUGAUGAAAGGCCCACUGAAGCCCAGAUGGCUUUAACAGUCCCUGGGAAGUAAGUGGAUAGAUUCCCGGGGCUGCCACAACAAAGCAAUGUAAACUGAGCGCCUUUGAGCAACGGAAAUUUCUUCUCUCACAUUUCCGGAAGCCUACAAUCAAAAUGUCGGCAGGACCAUGCUCCCUCUGAGACUCUGCGUGGACCCUUUCCCUGCGUCUCUUCAGCUUCCAGUGGCGGCUGGCACUGCCUGACACUCCUUGGCUCGCGGCUGCAUCAUCCUGCCUCUGCUGUCACCAGGCCCUCUUCCCUUUCUUCACGCUGUCUUGUUAUAAAGACACCCUACUUCAGUACGACCUCAUCUUAACUAAUCCAAUAAUCCAACCUCAGUCACCCCAAUUCCAAAUAAGGCCACAUUCUGAGGCACCGGGGCUUAGGAGUUCAACAUAUCUUUUGGGGGGAUGCGAUUCAACCUAGAAGAGUAACAUUCUUGCUUUCCAAUUAUUAAAGAAAAGAAGCAGAAGUGGGAUGCCCGUGAAUGUCACCCUGUUACACAGUAGGCAGGGUGGCUGUCACUCACCAUGGAAUAAUUUUAGAAAACAAAGGAGAGCUGGGUGGAUGUCUGGAUGAGUCUGCUAGAGCUGUGGCCUCCACCACAUUUGGUGGCCUCCGCGACAGAAAUUGGGCCUUUCACCGUCCAGUAGGCCGAAAGUCCCAAACCAAAGUAUCGGCAGGUUGGCUCCUUCUGAGGCUGGUGAGCACGGGUCUUUUCCAGGCCUCUCUCCUUGGCUUCAAACGGCCACCUUCCCCCUGUCUGUACCUCUGCAUCCAAAUUUCCACGUCCCGACUUUCUGGGGAAUUCUGCACACGAGCCAGGUACGAGGGCCCUGGUGGAAUGGCUCAACUACUGCUGAAGUUUGAUAAGGAUAAUACCUCAGACUCCAGUUUUGUGCACUCUCUCUGCUAGCCCUGUAGCAUCAGGCUUACAAGAAAACAUUACAUGUGGCGCCACCCAGAGGCAGAAGAUGAGAAAGACGAUCAAAAGGAAAGGAAGAGUUUCUGUCCCCACCCCCAACCCUCCCCUUUCCUCCCCCUUUUAUGUUUCUUGGUGAUCCUUUUUCCAAACUCGCCCUUUCAACCCUCUCAUGGAUUUCUGCCAUCGCACAGGAGCAAUGACCAGUCGUGCUCAAGAAAUGGUUGGAAACAGUACAAGCAAAUAAAAUUCAGGUUCCA